Molecule: ribosomal RNA, 468 nt
Filed under: uncultured bacterium
Lineage: Bacteria
Description: partial 16S ribosomal RNA
Rfam family: Bacterial small subunit ribosomal RNA
Source: RNAcentral
GACGAACGCUGGCGGCGUGCUUAACACAUGCAAGUCGAACGGAAAGGCCCUGCUUUUGUGGGGUGCUCGAGUGGCGAACGGGUGAGUAACACGUGAGUAACCUGCCCUUGACUUUGGGAUAACUUCAGGAAACUGGGGCUAAUACCGGAUAGGAGCUCCUGCUGCAUGGUGGGGGUUGGAAAGUUUCGGCGGUUGGGGAUGGACUCGCGGCUUAUCAGCUUGUUGGUGGGGUAGUGGCUUACCAAGGCUUUGACGGGUAGCCGGCCUGAGAGGGUGACCGGCCACAUUGGGACUGAGAGACGGCCCAGACGCCAACGGGAGGCAGCAGUCGGGAAUAUGGCACAAUGGGCGGAAGCCUGAUGCAGCAACGCCGCGUGCGGGAUGACGGCCUUCGGGUUGUAAACCGCUUUCGCCUGUGACGAAGCGUGAGUGACGGUAAUGGGUAAAGAAGCACCGGCUAACUACGUG